ACCUAUUUAACUUAGUGGUUAGAGUAUUUCCUUCAUACGGUAAGAGUCAUUAGUUCAAAUCCAAUAGUAGGUA
Vitis vinifera (wine grape) is the source of this 73-nucleotide transfer RNA. It matches the Rfam family "tRNA". From Rfam's summary of the family: Transfer RNA (tRNA) molecules are approximately 80 nucleotides in length. Their secondary structure includes four short double-helical elements and three loops (D, anti-codon, and T loops). Further hydrogen bonds mediate the characteristic L-shaped molecular structure. tRNAs have two regions of fundamental functional importance: the anti-codon, which is responsible for specific mRNA codon recognition, and the 3' end, to which the tRNAs corresponding amino acid is attached (by aminoacyl-tRNA synthetases). tRNAs cope with the degeneracy of the genetic code in two manners: having more than one tRNA (with a specific anti-codon) for a particular amino acid; and 'wobble' base-pairing, i.e. permitting non-standard base-pairing at the 3rd anti-codon position. NCBI's taxonomy places the organism in Eukaryota, Viridiplantae, Streptophyta, Magnoliopsida, Vitales, Vitaceae. The record is from Rfam.